GAAAAUUAAAAUAAUAUUAUUGAAGUACAUAACUAAAAAUAAAGUAAAAAGUUCUGGGGUCUACGUGAGAAAAUGGAAAUAAACUGAAAACAUAAAGGACCGGCAUCAGCCACUAUUCCACUUUCCAGUGCUCACCUCUGCUAUUUGGAAAAAAUUGUAUCAAAUUUAACUGUGUCAAGAUUUAUUUUAGAACAAAACCCUCAAUUACAUAAGCAAAACUGAAACUUCUAUUCAACGAUUAAACUAACAACUGCCACAGCCUUAAAUAACAUAUGCUCAUUGCUCACCGGUGAUGUUGCAGCGGCACAAAGGACAAGAAUUACUGUGGGAGAGCCAGGAGGAGAUGCACACAGAAUGAUAGACGUGGCCACAUGGGACUCGUUUUCCACCUAUACUUGACUCGAAACCCUCCAUACAAACCAUACAAACAUCAUCUGUAACUACCGUUGGCAUCCCAUCCACCAGAGAAUUUGACGCUGUGAUUCGCUCCUGCGGCAAAGUUGGACGUUCUUCGAAAUCAAAGUUUUCAUUGGCCAUAUAGUUCAGAGCGAGAGAAGAGAGUGCCUCGUCCAGGUCAAAGCUUGCAUUGGCCAUAUUGAGUGGAGAGAGAAGACUAUAACAAUAAGAAACAAUAACUAACUUAUCAGAGCUUUAGGUGAUGCUCUCUUCAAUCUACUUGCUUCUUCCUCCAUUCCAACCUGGCUGUUGACACACUUGAUAAUUUGGGAU
Molecule: unclassified non-coding RNA, 729 nt
Filed under: Hevea brasiliensis (rubber tree)
Lineage: Eukaryota; Viridiplantae; Streptophyta; Magnoliopsida; Malpighiales; Euphorbiaceae
Source: RNAcentral